This 963-nucleotide long non-coding RNA is filed under the name Brassica napus (rape). Its description in RNAcentral is "long non-coding RNA (BNAP_LNC026746)". Lineage: Eukaryota; Viridiplantae; Streptophyta; Magnoliopsida; Brassicales; Brassicaceae. The record is from RNAcentral.
GAACGUGAGCGGUUCCGAUGGACAAUUACAAUAAUAUAAAAACGUACAUUCAAUUAAACAUGCAAAGAAGAAGACAUAAUAUAAAGUGUUUUUUGUUAAAAAAAAUUUAAAUUUAACUUGGAAGAUGACCUAUUUUCGUUCUAUUUUUCUCUCUAGAGUAUAUCCUCUGACCUCUCUCUAUAAGAUUUGUUUUUGGUUUCUUUCCGAUCACCGGCUUCGGCUGCUCUCUUAGAGCCGGAGUCGGAUUUUCUUUUGUUUUCCGUGACUGAGAGAAACUUUUGAUUGGUACAACCUUCUUCUAGGCGUCUUCGGUUAUAUCUUAGAUCUAUCUGUGCGGAUAUGAUUCUUUAUCCAGUAUCUUUAGCCUUUUGUUGUUGCAUGUAUGUCUUGAGAUUUCUUGGGUUCUUCUCUGGUUUCGAUCUUCUGUCUCCUUGUCCUUUGCAUGCGACAGAAUCCGGAGUCGAUUGCAACUGCUCCUUGUCAUUUACCAUUUGAUAUGAUCGAGAUCUGCUUUUCGUCAAGCUUCAAGUUGGUGUUUAAAGUCGUCUCCUCAUCGACAUCGCCUUAUCCGGUUUGAAGACUAUGGAAAUAGAUUGUUCAGUUGUCUCCUGGGUCUUGAAGCUUUGUUCUCUAUCCUGUUUGGGCUAUUCUCUAUAGGAGGUUGCGUAUCUCGGUGGUUUGAUCAAGAUUUGUCUCCAUCGGUUUGUCUAUUCCCAAGAUUCUCUUUUAAAGUCUACAUGCUAAAUAGAUCUUAAUGUGUUCUGGAUUUAGUUGAUUGUCCCUUGGUGUUCUAGAAGUUUGAUUGUGCUUUGUUUGUUUCUCAGUUUAUGUUCUUGUUUCAUCUUGUCUCCCUUUUAUGGGCUAAUGUUUUCGGAGAUAUAUGUUUAUUCCGCCGGACUUAUGGUUGUGUUCUUAUGUAUAAGUUCUUGAUGUAAUCUUCUGAAUCAAUAUAAUCAAUCAGUG